RNAcentral lists this ribosomal RNA (905 nucleotides) under Peckhamia sp. Its description in RNAcentral is "partial 16S ribosomal RNA". The stretch from base 139 to 441 matches the Rfam family "Archaeal large subunit ribosomal RNA", at positions 2146 to 2720 of the family's 2987-position model. Lineage: Eukaryota; Metazoa; Arthropoda; Arachnida; Araneae; Salticidae. The record is from RNAcentral.
AAAUUAAACAGCCGCAAUUAGUGCUAAGGUAGCAUAAUCAUUUGUCUUUCAAAUGAAGACUAGAACAAAAGAUUUAACAUUUUAAUAAAUUUAUUUAUACCAUUAUUAAAAUUUUUUUAAAAGUUAAAAAACUUUUAUAUAUAAACUAGACGACAAGACCCUAUUGAACUUUACUUUAGUUAAACUGGGGCAGUAACUUAAUUAUUAUUUUAAUUAUAAUAUUAUUUAAAAUACCCAUAAAAAUGUAUAUUCAGUUACCAUAGGGAUAACAGCGCAAUUUUAUUUUAGAGAUCUUAUCUAAAGAAUAGAUUACGACCUCGAUGUUGAAUUAAUAACCUAUUUAAAGCAAGAUUUAAAUAAGGAAGUCUGUUCGACUUUUAAAAAAUCACAUGAUUUGAGUUCAGACCGGUAUAAGCCAGGUCGGCUUCCAUCUUUUUAAAAAAUUUUUGUAGUACGAAAGGACCUAAAAAUCUAAUUUAAUUAAUUAAUUUGGCAGAAAAAUGCAUUAGAAUUAGAAUCUAAUAAAACUUAAAUCAAUUUUACUUUAUCACUAAUUAUUGUCAUUAUUAGCAUUUUAGUAAGAGUAGCUUUUUAUACUAUCUUAGAACGAAAAAUUCUAGGAUAUAUACAAAUUCGAAAAGGUCCUAAUAAAGUAGGUUUUACAGGUAUUUUUCAACCAUUUAGAGAUGCUCUAAAAUUAUUUAAUAAAAAUUUAAUUUCUUCGGAAAAUAUAAAUUUUAUAAUAUCUUAUAUAACUCCAGCCAUAUCACUUUUCAUUAGAAUUUUAUUAAUUCCUAUUAUUUCUUUCAAUUCAUACUCUUUAUAUGAUAAUAAACAUAGAAUUUUAUUAUUUUUUAUCUUAUCAAGCAUAUCAGUUUACUUUAUUCUUCUAAUUGGCUGAUCUG